ACGGAAGGCAGCAGUGGGGGAUAUUGGACAAUGGGGGAAACCCUGAUCCAGCGACGCCGCGUGAGUGAAGAAGUAUUUCGGUAUGUAAAGCUCUAUCAGCAGGGAAGAAAAAAUCAAAAUUGACAGUACCUGACUAAGAAGCCCCGGCUAACUACGUGCCAGCAGCCGCGGUAAUACGUAGGGGGCAAGCGUUAUCCGGAUUUACUGGGUGUAAAGGGAGCGUAGGCGGUACGGCAAGUCAGAAGUGAAACUCCGGGGCUCAACCCCGGAACUGCUUUUGAAACUGUCGAUCUUGAGUACUGGAGAGGUAAGUGGAAUUCCUAGUGUAGCGGUGAAAUGCGUAGAUAUUAGGAGGAACACCAGUGGCGAAGGCGACUUACUGGACAGCAACUGACGUUGAGGCUCGAAAGCGUGGGGAGCAAACAGGAUUAGAUACCCUGGUA
This 443-nucleotide ribosomal RNA is filed under the name uncultured Lachnospiraceae bacterium. RNAcentral's name for it is "partial 16S ribosomal RNA". It matches the Rfam family "Bacterial small subunit ribosomal RNA", at positions 341 to 792 of the family's 1533-position model. Lineage: Bacteria; Bacillati; Bacillota; Clostridia; Lachnospirales; Lachnospiraceae. The record is from RNAcentral.